GUGCUAUCUGCCUGGUGGAGCCCCCUCAUGCAAUAACAGAUCUUGUAACUGAUGAAGAGGACGAGGGAACUGUGUCUGCUGCCUUUACAGACGGGGAUCCAGAAAGGCCUAUAGAGAGCAUGGCUGGGCAGCAGCAGGAGGGUCCCUCAACUUCCACUGCACAGAUUGACACAGUUGAAAAAACACACUGCUGAAAAAAAAAUAAAGAAAACCGAUAAAGAAAUGUUAUACUUGGACCGCCAGAUUAGGAAGGCAGAUUUGGAAAUUGAAAUACU
Long non-coding RNA from Thunnus maccoyii (southern bluefin tuna), 275 nucleotides. RefSeq lists it as uncharacterized. Lineage: Eukaryota; Metazoa; Chordata; Actinopteri; Scombriformes; Scombridae. The transcript is spliced from 3 exons. The record is from RefSeq and is a predicted model, not a curated record.